This 430-nucleotide long non-coding RNA is filed under the name Vulpes vulpes (red fox). RNAcentral describes it as "lncRNA (ENSVVUG00000007681.1)". The record is from RNAcentral. Lineage: Eukaryota; Metazoa; Chordata; Mammalia; Carnivora; Canidae.
GUUUCCUCAGGGACACACAAAACCACCGUUCCCAUAGCAACACUGUCUUGUGAUGUCAGAAAUCAGGGCUAGGCCUUGAAUGAUAAAACAAAAGCAUGUUGGCUAGCUGGCAAGGAAAGCGUGGUGAAAAGGAUGGUGCUAGGCUCCAAUGAGAGGAAGCACUGCGUCUGUACCUACACACCAUGUAAUUGUUUUAUACUUGAGAUUUCAGAGAAAACGAGAUAUUGAUUUAAGGGGAAGCCUCAAUGUAGAAGCAGUUGGAGUAGCUGUUGAGUUUGCAGAUACUCAAGUGCAACCACUAACAAAUGGUGUUGAAGAAUCCAGCAUCAACAUAUCUGCCAAGAUCUCUGAAGUGACUAAACUUAGGCACUGGAGGGGAUGCCUCUGAAUUGCUGCUGUCGGGAGUCCUCACACCUGUGCCAGGAGUGAG